RNAcentral lists this ribosomal RNA (294 nucleotides) under Triticum aestivum (bread wheat). RNAcentral describes it as "partial small subunit ribosomal RNA". The record is from RNAcentral. Lineage: Eukaryota; Viridiplantae; Streptophyta; Magnoliopsida; Poales; Poaceae.
AUGCGCCAGCUAAGGCUCGUAACCAACAUGAGGGCUCAUAAUGACACCUGGUUUGUGGAUUACUUGCUAAGGGUAGGCAAUAGCACCGAGGAAGUUGAUGAUCAAGGAAACAUACGACUCCCUGAAGAUAUUUGUGUGCCGUCUAUAGGCGAGGUUGACGACCUGGAGAAGCUGAUUGACCAUGUGUUUCCGAGUCUAGAUGACAACAUGUCUGAUCCAAAUUACAUGACUUCUCGCGCAAUCCUCUCCACCACGAAUGACAACAUCGACAAGAUAAACAUACACAUGGUAGAU